RNAcentral lists this ribosomal RNA (402 nucleotides) under uncultured bacterium. RNAcentral describes it as "bacterial SSU rRNA". It matches the Rfam family "Bacterial small subunit ribosomal RNA", at positions 355 to 774 of the family's 1533-position model. The record is from RNAcentral.
UGGGGAAUAUUGGACAAUGGGCGAAAGCCUGAUCCAGCCAUGCCGCGUGAGUGAUGAAGGCCCUAGGGUUGUAAAGCUCUUUUGUGCGGGAAGAUAAUGACGGUACCGCAAGAAUAAGCCCCGGCUAACUUCGUGCCAGCAGCCGCGGUAAUACGAAGGGGGCUAGCGUUGCUCGGAAUCACUGGGCGUAAAGGGUGCGUAGGCGGGUUUCUAAGUCAGAGGUGAAAGCCUGAAGCUCAACUCCAGAACUGCCUUUGAUACUGGAAGUCUUGAGUUCGGGAGAGGUGAGUGGAACUGCGGGUGUAGAGGUGAAAUUCGUAGAUAUUCGCAAGAACACCAGUGGCGAAGGCGGCUCACUGGCCCGAUACUGACGCUGAGGCACGAAAGCGUGGGGAGCAAACA